AAUUCGAUUAGAGUUUGAUCCUGGCUCAGAUUGAACGCUGGCGGCAUGCCUUACACAUGCAAGUCGAACGGCAGCACGGGAGCUUGCUCCUGGUGGCGAGUGGCGAACGGGUGAGUAAUACAUCGGAACGUACCCAGGAGUGGGGGAUAACGUAGCGAAAGUUACGCUAAUACCGCAUAUUCUGUGAGCAGGAAAGCGGGGGAUCGCAAGACCUCGCGCUCUUGGAGCGGCCGAUGUCGGAUUAGCUAGUUGGUGAGGUAAAAGCUCACCAAGGCGACGAUCCGUAGCAGGUCUGAGAGGAUGAUCUGCCACACUGGGACUGAGACACGGCCCAGACUCCUACGGGAGGCAGCAGUGGGGAAUUUUGGACAAUGGGGGCAACCCUGAUCCAGCCAUGCCGCGUGAGUGAAGAAGGCCUUCGGGUUGUAAAGCUCUUUCGGCGGGGAAGAAAUGGCAACGGCUAAUAUCCGUUGUUGAUGACGGUACCCGCAUAAGAAGCACCGGCUAACUACGUGCCAGCAGCCGCGGUAAUACGUAGGGUGCGAGCGUUAAUCGGAAUUACUGGGCGUAAAGCGUGCGCAGGCGGUUUCGUAAGACAGACGUGAAAUCCCCGGGCUCAACCUGGGAACUGCGUUUGUGACUGCGAGGCUAGAGUACGGCAGAGGGGGGUAGAAUUCCACGUGUAGCAGUGAAAUGCGUAGAGAUGUGGAGGAAUACCGAUGGCGAA
Molecule: ribosomal RNA, 727 nt
Filed under: uncultured bacterium
Lineage: Bacteria
Description: bacterial SSU rRNA
Rfam family: Bacterial small subunit ribosomal RNA
Source: RNAcentral